This 251-nucleotide ribosomal RNA is filed under the name uncultured prokaryote. RNAcentral describes it as "partial 16S ribosomal RNA". It matches the Rfam family "Bacterial small subunit ribosomal RNA", at positions 525 to 775 of the family's 1533-position model. The record is from RNAcentral.
ACGUAGGCAGCAAGCGUUGUUCGGAAUUACUGGGCGUAAAGAGUGCGUAGGUGGUUGGUUAAGUUUGGUGUGAAAUCUCCCGGCUCAACUGGGAGGGUGCGCCGAAAACUGGCUGGCUAGAGUGUGGGAGAGGGAAGCGGAAUUCCUGGUGUAGCGGUGAAAUGCGUAGAUAUCCGGAGGAACACCAGAGGCGAAGGCGACACCCUGGGCCGUACCUGACGCUAAGACGCGACAGCACGGGGAGCGAACGG